AUAAUCAGACCUAUAUUAUCUGAAGUCGUUAAUCUUGUAAAAUAGUUCUUUUUUAUGUAAUUAUGGUCAUUUUUUAAGUAAAUUACACCAUUCAAGAUAUUUUUACUACAAAUACCACAUUUAACGUAUUUAGUGGUAAUUACAGUGGUAAACUAAGUAAUUACAACAUUUACGACCCUCAUUACAAGUUUUUGAACAAUUCACGUAUAACAUAGUUAAAAGGUUCUUAAAAUUGUAAUUUUUUUACACAUGUCACAAUAUUACUGGAUGGCAUGUUUAACUGUACAACAGAUACUUCAUUUUUAUAUAUUAUUUUAAAAUAGUUGAUGCAUGCACUACCAGGACAAACACUUUAGCCGACGAAAAAAUUUCGUCGGCCUGUUAGCUUAAUUCGUCGGCUAAGAUCUUAGCCGACGAGCCAUCGUCGGCUAAGAUUUCGUCGGGAAAAGGUCGUCAGUGAUGACUUUAGCCGAUGAAAAAAGAAGACGUCAUCGGCUAUAGUCCCACAGCUUAGCUGACGAAAAACAUGUCGUCGGUUUUUUUCCCAAACUUUAGCCGACGAAACAAUUAAGAUAUUCGUCGGCUAAACCUUAUAAAAAAAUUAAAAAAAUAACUAUAGCCGACGAAAUAUAGUUUGUUUCGUCGGCUAAACCUAAUAAAAAAAAUGAAAAGAUACUAUAGCCGACGAAUAUAGUAUUUAAAUAUCGUCGGCUAAAGUUGCUGGUUUUUAAAAAAAAAAACUGCAGAAACUUUCGGCCACCUCCAAUCACUACUAAAAUUUGACAGAAUCUUCCUCUCAACAUUUCGAACAACUUUCUAGAAGAAGUCGAAGCCCAAUUCUAAGUCUAAACAGGUCAAUUGAAUCAAAAUAUAAAAAUCCCCAAUUUUAAACCCUAAAAACUUCAAAUCUUCGAUUCUCCUCACACACACCGAAUCGAGCUACCAAAUUCUAGAGGAAUGUAGUACUAAUCAAACUCAACUUAUCCAUAUAUAGAACUCACCAAAUGGUGACCUGAAGUAGGAGAAAUUCGAACGACACCGAAUCCGAACCAGCAGAGUUUUGGAGCUCGAUUUAUCCCUCACGGCGGCACCACUCGAUGCACCACCUGUCCAGCAAUGAAGUAGAGACGACGGCGAAGCUUUUGAGACAAGUGUGGUGGUCUCCGGUGGCUUGACGGCGGAGCUAGGCCGAGAAGAAAAUUCGGCAGACGAAACAGACUUCUUACCAUCCACCUCCAGUAAAACUCCUAUAUAAAGAACUUUACCUGAUGAAAUUCUUUAUUUUCAUCGGCUAAACUCUUUUGAAAAUUUUGGUUGAAAAUUUUGAAAAUUUUUCGACUUUAGCCGACGACUUUUCAUAUAUUUUCGUCGGCUAAAGUCCUUUGAAAAUUUUCCUCCAAAUUUGGUUUACCGCCAAAAAAAUUUUGACCUUAGCCGACGACUUUUUUAAUAUCUCGUCGGCUAAAGUCUAUAAAUUCACGAAAACGCUCAUAUCUCCCUCUAUAUUACGUAGUUUGGUCAAACCUUCCACACGAAAAACUUUCACGUAGAUGAGACGCAACCGCCUAAAUAAAAAUUUUGAGACAUUUACCUUCCAACGAUAGGGCUCCCCACAGGGAAUAAUAACGGUAAAUAGGGUUAACCGCUACUAUCGGCACCGAGACGUUACCCGAUUUACGUGAUUUUUGAACCAUAGCCGUAUUUCACCAUUAUGAACACAUCUUAUUUCAUCAGAUUUUUGAUAAGUUUGCUUCCUAUGUAGAGUUGGUUCACAAAGUUGUGUAACCUACUAAACAAGUUAUACAACAUUAAUAGACACGUUGUGAUUCCGAUUACUAAAAUUUACAAACCAAAAUUCGACCAUCAGAUAUGAUCAUUAUGACGAAAGAUGUCUAUGGUAAAAAAUUCAACUGGAUCCGAUAACGUUAUGGGCUCGAUCGAAACGGUCAACCCUAAUCUAUCGUCACUUAUCACACGAAAACGCUCAUAUCUCCCUCUAUAUUACGUAGUUUGGUCAAACCUUCCACACAAAAAACUCUCAUGUAGAUGAGACACAACUGCCCAUAUAAAAAUUUUGAGACAUUUACCUUCCGACAAUAGGGCUCCCCAUAGGGAAUAAUAACGGUAAAUAGUAGACACGUUGUGAUUCCGAUGACUAAAAUUUACAAACCAAAAUUCGACCGUCAGAUAUGAUCAUUAUGACGAAAGAUGUCUUUGGUAAAAAAUUCAACUGGAUUCGACAACGUUAAGGGCUCGAUCAAAACGGUCAACUCUAAUCGGAAAUAAGAAAAUUGCUUUUUGAAGCCCUAAACGGACUCGGAUGGCCAAAAAGGCCCAUAUUUCAUAGCAUUGCAAUGAGUUUGACUCGUAGGGCCGUUACGGUUCCUGAAAGAUUGAUAGUCAAUCGGACACCAAACGCCAAAUCUACAACAUAGUGAAUAAUAAGGGUAAAUUGCAUUGACUGCAACUAUCGUUACUGAGACUUUACCGGAAUACCGUGAUUUUUCAACCGUAGACAUAUUUCACCAUUCUGGUCAUAUCUUAUUUCACGACUUUUUUGCGUUUGAAGGUUCUACGUAUAGUUUUUUUUUUCCCAGAUGAGUUGUUGUCCAGAUUUGCAAAUAUAAGGCACUUUAGCCGAGGAAAUUAUAUCUUUCGUCGGCUAAAGUUCACAGACUAUAGCCAACGAAAAAAAUUAUUCAGACGACGAAAUUUUAAUAUCGUUGUCUAAAGUUGACCAAAGCCGACGAAAAUUUAAAUUAGCCGACAAAAAAAAAUUUUGUCGGCUAAAGUCCACGUUAGCCGACGAAAAAAUAAUUUGUCGGCCUGAUUUUUUUAUUUUCGUCCGUUAAAACCUUUCUUCUAGUAGUGAUGGUAUGCAUCAACUCAUCCUAUCAUUCCCCAAAUACGGUAAAUGUUUUUACAUUGCUGAAUUUACAUUGUUGUUGGAAUUUGAUUAGAAUUUCUUUAAAACAGAAAUGAUCCAAACACCAGAAUUUGUAAUUCCUAUCAUUUAAAAAAAUUUAUAUCAUGAAAUUCAAACACCGGAUUUCUC
RNAcentral lists this long non-coding RNA (3055 nucleotides) under Fragaria vesca (wild strawberry). Its description in RNAcentral is "long non-coding RNA (FVES_LNC002667)". The record is from RNAcentral. Lineage: Eukaryota; Viridiplantae; Streptophyta; Magnoliopsida; Rosales; Rosaceae.